AACAUUUUAGUCAUGGAUAUAUUAGAUAUAAGGAUAAACAAAUUACUGUUUUCCCAAUUAUGUACAAUCUGUAAACAUCAUAAACAUAAAAAAAAAAAAACUGCUAUCUGUUAAAGUCUCAAAGUUAAUACUCUAGAAAUUAGGGGUGCCUGGGUAAAUCAGGUAGUUAAACAUUCAACUCUUGAUUUUGGCUCAGGUUGUGAUCUCAAGGUCAUGAGAUCAAGCCCCACAUUGGGCUCUGCACUCAGCUGGGACUCUGCUUGAAAUUUUCUCUCCCUCUCCCUUUGCUCCACACCCCUCUAUCCCACCAUUCUCUCCCACUCUCUCAUUCUCUCUCUCUGAAAUAAAUCUUAAAAAAAAGAAAAAAAUGUAAAAAAAAAAACAGCUAAAAGUAAACUUAACCUAUAGAUAUUUUAAAGAAUGUAGGUAAUAUGAAAAUUAUUUUAGAGGGUUCCAAUUAAAGUAUGCAUUAUUAGCAGACAAUUUAGGAUAACACAGGCAAAAACCUUAGUCUCAAAAUAUCACAGCAUUCAGAAAAACACUCGAGAUUAAGGUAUUACUCAGAUAUAUAUAUAUAUAUAUAUAUAUAUAUAUAUAUAUAUCAGAUAUAUAUUUACUCUUUGUAAUAUUAGUGUUGAGUAUCAAACAGUUAAAAGUCUUCCAGGAAUUUUUAUAUUAGAUGCUUCUGGUGUUCUAUUUGUUUGACAACCCAUAGGCAAGGGAUAUGAAGAGGUACCAUUGCAUAAUGGUUUUGCCAAAAUAACUUUCUCCACUAAGCUAAAAAUCUCCUAAAAAUGGCUCUGAAAUUUAUGAUAAUGACACAUUUCAUUUAUGUCCUCAGCUUUCAAGUGCCAACUUUAUAUUUGCUUUAUAAUGUUGAAUUGAGAGCUUAUUGGUUAAAAGAAAAUGAAAACAGGAAGAAAAGAAAGAGAAGGGAGAAAAAGAGAACUGCUUUCUAUUUUUUUAUGUUUUUAUUUAUUUAUCUGAGAGAGAAAGAGCUCGUGUGCACAAACAAGUAGGGUGAGGAGGAGGGAUGGAAAGGAAGAAGGAGAAGCAGACUCCCCAGUGAGCAGGGAGCAGAGUUCAAUCCUAGGACCCUGAGAUCCUGACCUGAGUUGAAGGCAAAUGCCUAACCAACUGAGACACUAGGUGCCCCAAAAAACUGCUUUUUAAAUCUGAAUUGACUCAGACAUUGUCCCAUCCACAAACUCUCUCCUCUUAAAAGAAUGCAUUGUCUUCUACUUCCUUCAAGUGCCAUUACUGAGUUUCUAUUUGAAUUAAACAAGGUCAGCUUGUAUGAAUUAAAUUAUCAAACCUUUACAGAAAUUUAGUAUAUAAUUUCAAGUGUUGAGUUUGUCCACUAGAGUGCACCAUCGUAAUCUCUUGAAUAUAACAGAAACAUGUUGAUGUAUUUUUUUCA
Molecule: long non-coding RNA, 1420 nt
Filed under: Canis lupus familiaris (dog)
Lineage: Eukaryota; Metazoa; Chordata; Mammalia; Carnivora; Canidae
Description: lncRNA (ENSCAFG00845008538.1)
Source: RNAcentral